CCAAUAGCGUAUAUUAAAGUUGUUGCAGUUAAAAAGCUCGUAGUUGAAUUUCGGGAUCAAUAUGUUGGUCGUGCCUCGGUACGUACUAGCAUAUUGGUUUCUCCUUUCUGAAGAACCAUGAUGUCAUUUAUUUGGUGUCGUGGGGAAUCAGGACUGUUACUUUGAAAAAAUUAGAGUGUUUAAAGCAGGCUCACGCUUGA
Molecule: ribosomal RNA, 200 nt
Filed under: uncultured Glomus
Lineage: Eukaryota; Fungi; Glomeromycota; Glomeromycetes; Glomerales; Glomeraceae
Description: partial small subunit ribosomal RNA
Rfam family: Eukaryotic small subunit ribosomal RNA
Source: RNAcentral